This 497-nucleotide ribosomal RNA is filed under the name uncultured bacterium. RNAcentral describes it as "partial 16S ribosomal RNA". It matches the Rfam family "Bacterial small subunit ribosomal RNA", at positions 28 to 507 of the family's 1533-position model. The record is from RNAcentral.
GACGAACGCUGGCGGCGUGCCUAAUACAUGCAAGUAGAACGCUGAAGGGAGGAGCUUGCUCUUCUUGGAUGAGUUGCGCACGGGUGAGUCACGCGUAGGUAACCUGCCUUGUAGCGGGGGAUAACUAUUGGAAACGAUAGCUAAUACCGCAUAACAAUGGAUGACACAUUUCAUUUAUUUGAAAGGGGCAAUUGCUCCACUACAAGAUGGACCUGCGUUGUAUUAGCUAGUAGGUGGGGUACUGGCGCACGUAGGCGGCGAUACAAAGCCGACCUGAUAGGACGGUCGGCCACACUGGGACUGAGACACGGCCCAGUCUCCUACGGGAGGCAGCAGGAGGGAAUCUGCGGGAAUGGGGGCAACCCUGACCGAGCAACGCGGCGUGAGUGAAGAAGGUUGUCGGAUCGGAAAGCUCGGUUGUAAGUCAAGAACGGGUGUGAGAGUGGAAAGUUCACACUGUGACGGUAGCUUACCAGAAAGGGACGGCUAACUACGUG